This 692-nucleotide long non-coding RNA is filed under the name Phasianus colchicus (ring-necked pheasant). RNAcentral describes it as "lncRNA (ENSPCLG00000016330.1)". The record is from RNAcentral. Lineage: Eukaryota; Metazoa; Chordata; Aves; Galliformes; Phasianidae.
CCCCAUUGACCCCAUUGACCCCAUUUCCCCCAUUUCCCUCACUGACCCCAUUGACCCCAUUUCCCCCAUUGCCCCCAUUGCCCCCAUUUCCCCCAUUGCCCCCCUGACCCUACAAACGCCCCUAUAGGGCCCACGCGGACGUCGCCGCGGCUGCCCUCGCCCCACGACCCCACAGCGCCGCGUCACCCCACAGGUGACAUGGGGGGCACCGGGNNNNNNNNNNNNNNNNNNNNNNNNNNNNNNNNNGGGGGGGGAGGUGACAUUUGGGGUCAUUUAGGGACAUUUUAGGGUCAUUUUAGGGUCAUUUUGGGGCCAUUUUGGGNCAUUUUUGGGCCAUUUUGGGAUAUUUUGGGUCCAUUUGGGGCCAUUUUGGGACAUCUUGGGAAAUGUUGGGACAUUUUGGGUCCAUUUUUGGCCAUUUUGGGCCAUUUUGGGAAAUUUUGGGACAUUUUGGGUCCAUUUUUGGCCAUUUUGGGUCCAUUUUGGGACAUUUUGGGUCCAUUUUUGGCCAUUUUGGGUCCAUUUUGGGACAUUUUGGGUCCAUUUUAGGACAUUUUGGGGACAUUUUAGCGUCAUUUUGGAUCCAUUUAUGGCCAUUUUGGGUCAUUUUAGGGACAUUUUGGGUUCAUUUUUGGUGCCAUUUGGGACAUUUUUGGGUCAUUUUAGGGUCAUUUUGGGUCCAUUUUGGGUCA